Cordylochernes scorpioides is the source of this 113-nucleotide non-coding RNA. NCBI's taxonomy places the organism in Eukaryota, Metazoa, Arthropoda, Arachnida, Pseudoscorpiones, Chernetidae. The record is from the annotation of a GenBank genome assembly.
ACGGCCAUACCACAUUGAAAACAUCGGUUCUCGUCCGAUUACCGAAAUUAAGCAAUGUAGGCCCGGCAGUAUUUGGGAGGGUGACCACCUAGUAACACGGCGUGCUGUAGGCU